This 704-nucleotide ribosomal RNA is filed under the name Heterakis gallinarum. Its description in RNAcentral is "SSU rRNA". It matches the Rfam family "Eukaryotic small subunit ribosomal RNA", at positions 595 to 1307 of the family's 1831-position model. The record is from RNAcentral. Lineage: Eukaryota; Metazoa; Nematoda; Chromadorea; Rhabditida; Heterakidae.
AAGUGUAUAUCGUCAUUGCUGCGGUUAAAAAGCUCGUAGUUGGAUCUGCGCCUCAGGACUUGGUCCACCCAUUGGGUGAGAACUAGGCUCCUGGGCUAGUACUGUUGGUUAUCCCUACGUUGCCUUCAUCGGUCGCGUAGGGUGGCUAACGAGUUUACUUUGAAAAAAUUAGAGUGCUUCACGCGGGCUAAUGUCUGAAUACUCGUGCAUGGAAUAAUAGAAUAGGAUCUCGGUUCUAUUUUGUUGGUUUUCUGAUCUGAGAUAAUGGUUAAGAGGGACGGACGGGGGCAUUCGUAUCGCUGCGUGAGAGGUGAAAUUCUUGGACCGUACGGAGACGUCCGACUGCGAAAGCAUUUGCCAUGAAUGUCUUCAUUAAUCAAGAACGAAAGUCAGAGGUUCGAAGGCGAUCAGAUACCGCCCUAGUUCUGACCGUAAACGAUACCAACUAGCGUUCCGUCGGCGGUAAAUUUGCCUUGACGGGCAGCUUCCCGGAAACGAAAGUUUUUCGGUUCCGGGGGAAGUAUGGUUGCAAAGCUGAAACUUAAAGAAAUUGACGGAAGGGCACCACCAGGAGUGGAGCCUGCGGCUUAAUUUGACUCAACACGGGAAAACUCACCUGGCCCGGACACCGUGAGGAUUGACAGAUUGAGAGCUCUUUCUUGAUUCGGUGGUUGGUGGUGCAUGGCCGUCUUAGUUGGGGGAGU